Molecule: ribosomal RNA, 500 nt
Filed under: uncultured bacterium
Lineage: Bacteria
Description: partial 16S ribosomal RNA
Rfam family: Bacterial small subunit ribosomal RNA
Source: RNAcentral
AUUGAACGCUGGCGGCAGGCCUAACACAUGCAAGUCGAGCGGAUGACGGGAGCUUGCUCCUUGAUUCAGCGGCGGACGGGUGAGUAAUGCCUAGGAAUCUGCCUGGUAGUGGGGGACAACGUUUCGAAAGGAACGCUAAUACCGCAUACGUCCUACGGGAGAAAGCAGGGGACCUUCGGGCCUUGCGCUAUCAGAUGAGCCUAGGUCGGAUUAGCUAGUUGGUGGGGUAAUGGCUCACCAAGGCGACGAUCCGUAACUGGUCUGAGAGGAUGAUCAGUCACACGGGAACUGAGACACGGUCCAGACUCCUACGGGAGGCAGCAGUGGGGAAUAUUGGACAAUGGGCGAAAGCCUGAUCCAGCCAUGCCGCGUGUGUGAAGAAGGUCUUCGGAUUGUAAAGCACUUUAAGUUGGGAGGAAGGGCAGUAAGCUAACACCUUGCUGUUUUGACGUUACCGACAGAAUAAGCACCGGCUAACUCUGUGCCAGCCGCCGCCGUAA